ACCAGUUUGUUUACAAUUAAGGGGAUGUUUUUAAACACAAUUUAAAGGGUCAUUUUGUCAUCAAUUGGGCAAUCAUUAUUGAUAAUAGACAAAUGAAAACAACGGCAAAGAUACUAAGGAAUAUUAGGUCUCCGCGCGAACGACCUCCGACUACGACUCCGACUAUGAUGGUGUUUCAGUGUUCUGUACAGUCGAUCAAAAAUAUCGAACUCUUAAGAUAAAUUCAAAAAAUGGAAUGUCCGUGAAAACUGACAUGAUAAUGACUCCUCCUUUAACACUGGCUAUCGUGUUGCAAACUCGAGAUACACUAUUUUUAUAGCAACCCAACAACAUCAAAACAGUAUAAGACACUUUAAGUGUAUAAGGGAGCAACCGUUUAGCCUAAAAAUGGGGUUAUGUUUUUUUGUCGGAGUCAGAAAAAUGUUUUUUUCGCAAAACGCGAACAUUUUUUUGGUUAUUCAACGCUUUCAAUCAAAGGAGUAGGUCCGCUAAGGGCGGAUUUUGUCCUCAAAUUUCAGGUUCAUCUAACGAAAGAUUUUAGACACUUUUUAAACGCUUAAACAUGUUAAAUGUCUAUUUCAAUUGAUUCAAUUAGUUUAUGUGACAGAUUUAAACUAAGUUAGUCAUUAAAAACUCUCCGAUUUAAGCUUAAAUAUAUCAAUCUAUCAAAUAUGCCAAAAAACGUCACUUUUCAGAUGGUUUUUGUCAAAAAAUGAAAUUGGCCGCAUCCGUGAUCAUGCUCAACCUUUAUAUAUGUUAUGAAUUAUCAUCAAAUACAACUUGCAUUUCAAUAUUAUGAAUGAACACGAA
This 810-nucleotide long non-coding RNA is filed under the name Mytilus galloprovincialis (Mediterranean mussel). Lineage: Eukaryota; Metazoa; Mollusca; Bivalvia; Mytilida; Mytilidae. The record is from RNAcentral.